GCUAGUUGGGGUGGAGUCGAUCGGUGAAAUACCACUCUGACCAUAGUGGAUUCCUUAACUUCGGACCCUGAUCGGGUUCAGGGACAGUGCCUGAUGGGUAGUUUAACUGGGGCGGUUGCCUCCCAAAAUGUAACGGAGGCGCCCAAAGGUUCCCUCAGCCUGGUUGGCAAUCAGGUGUCGAGUGCAAGUGCACAAGGGAGCUUGACCGUGA
This 211-nucleotide ribosomal RNA is filed under the name Heterosigma akashiwo. Its description in RNAcentral is "partial Bacterial large subunit ribosomal RNA". It matches the Rfam family "Bacterial large subunit ribosomal RNA", at positions 2170 to 2378 of the family's 2925-position model. The record is from RNAcentral. Lineage: Eukaryota; Raphidophyceae; Chattonellales; Chattonellaceae.